UGGGAAAUACAGCAGCUGGACCUUUAGCUAGCAACUGUGAGACAAACUGCACACAAACAGUUUGUGUGUUUGCUGAUGUUUGUUAAGCUGCUAAAAAUGGUGCAUUUGAAAUUACCUGCCACUUUAAAAAGUCCCUCUUUUUCUAGGUUCGCAGUGACGUGAAAUAAUAACUCCCCUCAAAUGUUAAAUCAAAAGUAACGAGCCUGGUAAGAAGUAGAAAGAAAAGAAAUUUGUUUUAGAAAUGUAGGGAGUAAACGGAAAAUGUUUUAAUUUAACACCUAUUCAAGUAAAGUAUUAAAAUGUAUUAAUGCAGCUGCAGUGAGUACAUAAAACAUGCCUACAGAUGUCUUACUGCAGUCUUCACACAACAGGAGGGGUUUUAAUUAUGGAAAUAUUUGUUAGUUUUGGUGGUAUAUUGAAUUUGCUUUGCCACAGACAGUUAAUAAAUCUAAUUUACUCCUGCCCUCAUGGGCCCUGAUGUGAACCUUGGAUCUAUACUUUUGGUAAAUGGUAAAUGGACUGGUUCUUAAAUAGCACUUUUCUACUCUGAGCACUCAAAGCGCUUUAUACAACUAAUUCAUUCACCGAAUCAAUGUGAUAGAACAGCAGCGUUUUAAUGGAAGCAAGUAAAGGAAUAUACAAACCCAUCAGGAUAUGUGACACUUUCGUUUUUACUGCAUUUCAACAGUUUGAAGAAUUUGAUGCAGUUUUAAAAGUUGACAAACUGAGAAUCAAUUUAAGUAACAAUGAGUAAAUUCUUAUUUCUUUCACAGGUGUUGUUCAACACACCAAUAUAUAUAACAUGGCUGUGGAGAUCUGCUGGUAUCUUCCAGGUUACAGGGCUCAGGUAAGACCCAGAUCCAUCCAAACCAAAACUGAGAUAAAAUAUCAGGUGAUUUCUGAGGACCUGAGAGUGGUGCUGAUUAAAUGUCUCCUUUUAUUUUUAGAUUUCAAUGAUGAUGGAGUUGCUCCGACUUCAGAAGGAAAACCAAACCAGGGACAUCGAGUUUUAAGCCCGGAUGCUGCUGGGAUUUCCAGAAGCCGUACCUCCUAAAUUUCAGUGAUCACAUCUGCCGUACAAUUAUUAACAGUCCAGCUACAGUGUUUCAAUAUUUCUGUGAUUCUUUAAAUAGGUUUAAAAGAUCAUUCUUAUAACUUUAUUCUACAGAACACCUAAGCUCCUCAGCAAUGUCAGCAAGUACAUUGAACUCCUUAAAGAGAGGCAGCAAGACGCACAAACCUCCAAACUGCUCACUGCACCAGACGUGGUGAUAGAGGUGGUUCCCCAUGUCGUGCAUGGAUUCUGGGAGCUUACUCCUCACCCCCUACUGAACAUGGCCUCCCAGAGAUUGAGCAUCCUCCAAAGGCCACUUUGGAUCAAGUAGCCAAAUCUAUCCCAACAAUGGAAAACCAGGCCAUCUUCUCACACUCCAUCAGAGAUGGCAUGGUGCACACAAUCCUGUCUGAAGUCAGAAUAAAAUAUCCAGAACAGAUUCUGCUGAACAAAAUUGCAAACUUUGCACCAAGGCUACUGAGAACUGAUGUAGCAAAAACAACAUACGCCAGAUCUUCCAGCCCCCUUGUGAAAGUCCAGUAGUGCCUGAUGUUCUUCCAACUAAAGAACCUCAUGCUGAAGGUCUGCUGAAGUCAGAUGUUCUUCCCACUUCUGAACCUCCGUUUGAAAGUUCACAAAUGGCUGAUGUUCUUCUUACUGAAGAACCUGCUUCCAAAAUUCUGGCAAAGUCUGAUGAUCUUCCUAGUGAGGAACUCCCUUCUGUAAGUCUAUCCAUGUCUGAGCCAGUUGUCUCUUUUACUAAUAAGUCAGAGAAGUCUGACUUCAUUCAAAUCAGGGAGAAAAAGAAGAAAAAGAAAGGGCUUCUUCCAAAAAUUCAGAGCUCUGUGCUGUUGUUGCUUCAGACCCCAAGAAACUGACUGACUUUGAGAAUCCCAUCUGUUUGUUCUAACUCUCCAAAAUCAAAUAAAAUCCCUAAUCAAUAUUUUUGCAUGAGUCUGCAUCUAUGGUUAAAGAAUAUUUUUCCUUCAGAUGUUUAUAAGACUCUCUUAGGGUUCUCAAAAUACCUCCACAAGUCCAACAAUUGUUGACAUAUUAGUGUUAUUAUUUUUAAGAGAAUCUGAACUUAUUCUUACUCUUAACAUAUCAACAACAGUAACUGAAAACUGGAAAUUAAAAAAAGUUCCCAACAAUUAUUAAUGUUGCUUCGCAUCUUUGUUUUGUAAGGGUCCAGAUACACAUUGGCAUAUAGCAGGACCUCAGUGUUAAAAAAUAGAUAAAUAAUAAAUAAAAACUGUGGUGCGUACCACUGGCGGUACUUGGGCUCUCUCUGGUGGUACCCGGGAAAUCUCCUUUUUUUUUUUUUUAAGAUUAAAUAAUAUACCAUUGUGGAGGUAUACAAAAGACGACACGAGAGUUCCCGGGGCUCUUCUGGGAGCCGGAGUCACCCAGAAAACGUCUCCCCGAGCAGCCUUUCCUCAUCGCCACUUCAGAGCGCUGGCGGGCUCAUUUCCCUGGUCCUUAAAACUGCAAAGGCGGUACGCCGCUGUCACGCUGAUAGUAAAAACCAAUACAGUCAUUGGUAAAAACACAGCCCUUUUCCGCCGUGCCGCGAUCCCAGCCACCAUCGAUGAGUCGGAGGCCCCCGAAAGAAUCGGUGGGGGUGCGGGAGAUGCCGUCGGUUAAUCGGGAACUAUAGCCUGGCUGCCGAAGCUUCUGGUAGACAGGAGAAUGCGAUCCGCUUCUUCUGCGAGUGAGCGGUAAGCCUUCGCGGCCAGCAGCGGGGAGUUGGCGAGGCCAGCUGGCACCGGCACCUGUCGGAGGAAGACGUGAGUGAAGAGGAAUCUGCCGUCAUCCGUUCCCAGCAAGGAUAGCGUGCUCUCCAUGAGCUCGAGCGCGGCACCAUCACCCAGGCCCAAGACAGAGAGGAGUUUCUCGGCCCGCUCUGCGUCAGAGUGUUGUUCAACACACCAAUAUAUAUAACACAGCUGUGGAGAUCUGCUGGUAUCUACCAGGUUACAGGGCUCAGAUUUCAAUGAUGAUGGAGUUGCUCCAACUUCAGAAGGAAAACCAAACCAGGGACAUCGAGUUUUAAGCCCGGAUGCUGCUGGGAUUUCCAGAAGCCAUACCUCCUAAAUUUCAGUGAUCACAUCUGCCGUACAAUCAUUAACAGUCCAGCUACAGUGUUUCAAUAUUUCUGUGAUUCUUUAAAUAGGUUUAAAAGAUCAUUCUUAUAACUUUAUUCUACAGAACACCUAAGCUCCUCAGCAAUGUCAGCAAGUACAUUGAACUCCUUAAAGAGAGGCAGCAGGACGCACAAACCUCCAAACUGCUCACUGCACCAGACGUGGUGAUAGAGGUGGUUCCCCAUGUCGUGCAUGGAUUCAGGGAGCUUACUCCUCACCCCCUACUAAACAUGGCCUCCCAGAGAUUGAGCAUCCUCCAAAGGCCACUUUGGAUCAAGUAGCCAAAUCUCUCCCAACAAUGGAAAACCAGGCCAUCUUCUCACACUCCAUCAGAGAUGGCAUGGUGCACACAAUCCUGUCUGAAGUCAGAGGAAAAUAUCCAAAACAGAUUCUGCUGAACAAAAUUGCAAACUUUGCACCAGGGCUACUCAGAACAAUUGCUGAUGUAGCAAAAACAACAUACGCCAGAUCUUCCAGCCCCCUUGUGAAAGUCCAGUAGUGCCUGAUGUUCUUCCAACUAAAGAACCUCAUCCUGAAGGUCUGCUGAAGUCAGAUGUUCUUCCUACUUCUGAACCUCCGUUUGAAAGUUCACGAAUGGCUGAUAUUUUUUCCUCUGAAGAACCUCCUUCUAAAAGUUCUUUAAUGGCUGAUGUUCUUCCCACUGAAGAACCUCCGUUUGAAAGCUCACGAAUGGAUGAUCUCUCUUCCAUUCAAGAACCUGCUUGUGAAAAUAUGCCAAAGUCAGAUGUUCUUCCUACUAAAGAGCCUCCGUUUGAAAGUUCACAAAUGGCUGAUGUUCUUCUUACUGAAGAACCUGCUUCCAAAAUUCUGGCAAAGUCUGAUGAUCUUCCUAGUGAGGAACUCCCUUCUGUAAGUCUAUCCAUGUCUGAGCCAGUUGUCUCUACUACUAAUAAGUCAGAGAAGUCUGACAACAUUCAAAUCAGGGAGAAAAAGAAGAAAAAGAAAGGGCUUCUUCCAAAAAUUCAGAGCUCUGUGCUGUUGUUGCUUCAGACCCCAAGAAAUUGACUGACUUUGAGAAUCCCAUCUGUUUGUUCUAACUCUCCAAAAUCAAAUAAAAUCCCUAAUCAAUA
This is a long non-coding RNA of Oreochromis aureus, 4289 nucleotides long. RefSeq lists it as uncharacterized. The transcript has 3 exons. NCBI's taxonomy places the organism in Eukaryota, Metazoa, Chordata, Actinopteri, Cichliformes, Cichlidae. The record is from RefSeq and is a predicted model, not a curated record.